This 4506-nucleotide long non-coding RNA is filed under the name Equus caballus (horse). Its description in RNAcentral is "lncRNA (ENSECAG00000054309.1)". The record is from RNAcentral. Lineage: Eukaryota; Metazoa; Chordata; Mammalia; Perissodactyla; Equidae.
AGCUUGAAAGGGGCUUUGAGAUGCUGGGAUGAAAGGCGCUGGGUUGAGUACAAAGCACAGGGCAAGCUGUCCUGGGAGUGGGAGGCCUGGCCCGGGGCCUUCCCCGGCCCCCAUGCUGAGUCACUUCCUCCCUCCUGGCUGGAUUUUGCCUCUGUAACCCAGAGACACUGAACCCUCCUUUCAGGACGGCGUCUUGGGGGAUGUUCCCAGAGAGCGUGUGCAGGAUGCAGGCCUGGCAUCAACCUCGACUCACCACCAAAGGGCCCCAAGCCGGGAGGGGAGGGAGGUGUGUUGGCCUUGAUGCUGUGGGGCAGAUGCUACCACGCAUUUAUAGCUUCAUGACUCUCCUCUUAACUUGUCUGGGAGAGCGACGACUCAGGGAUGAGCAUCCCUCUGUUACACUUGAAGAAACUGAGGACCAAAGAGGUGGGAGGUUUCCCAAGGUCUCACAGCCCACCCGAGGAGAGAGCAGAUCCGAAGCCUCUGGCUCCCCACAUCCUUCCCCCAGAGGGCAGCCAGCCCCCCAUUACUCAUUCCUUUAAACAUGAGGCUCUCAUAGGAGCUUCACAGGACUGCACUGCACUUUGUAUUACCAGGGCUCUGAGGGAAGCACCAAUACUAGCUUUGCCUUCAAGGAAUUGCUCGACUAGUGUCUCUUUACUGGUCAUAAAGUAAAGGGUGAAGGAAAAAAAAAACAGUUGAACAAGGGAGUGAAGUCUUCUGGAAGGUCAGCGUGGAGAGGUGACAGCUGCCAAGGAAAGAUUCCCACGAUGGCCUCUGCCAAUGGAUUAGAACCGAGAAGUCAUCCAAGCAAGGCUGCUCCUGCUGGUCUUCAGGUGCCCUCCUUGAGACCGAGCUCCCCAGACCGGGCUGCUGGGGUUCCCUGCACCUGGUGGACCUCAAUUUCUCCCUCCUGAGGGACAGGGGUUCCCAUUCGGUGUGCCUACCAGUAGGUAGCAGUUCACAAGGCCCACUCUGAGCCAGUCCUGUGCUCAGAGAAACAAGGCAGGGUUCCCACCCUCACAGUAAAGCCGCCCAGUCUGACGGGGACGUGAUCCCAGACAGAAGGAAGGACGUCCAGGCCACGUGCUGUGGGGGCCACAGAAGGAAGGACCCACCAACUGAAGGCCCAGGAGGUUACAUGCUUGUGCUUUGGAACCGAGACCUCCCCCUUUCCGCUGUUUAAGCAUCUGCCCCCAAUUCAAGGCCGCUCCGUAAACUAACUAGACCUAGAUGGACCCAAAUCAAGCUCUAAGCAGGUUCUUCCCCUGGGAGCUUUCUCAUCCCUGGAAACCCAAAAAGGGUAAUAGCACGAGUCACCCUUGGGAGCAAGUUCUCAGACAUGAAGUCUCUGAGCAGCCCUGGCCCAGAGGGUGCACUCAGGAUGGGGCACUGUUACUUCACUUCUGGGACUUUCAAAUCCACGCUUGUUAGAAAGCAGUGGGAAGCGUUUGUGUGAACCGUGAAGAACCCUUCUAAAGCAAAGGCGGUUAAAGCCGCAGGUGUGGCUGGGGAAGGCCUUUACGAGAGGCUUACUGCGCUCAGCUGUGGCGGCGGCUUGGGUGGAGCCUGGCCUGAGGCGGGGGCUCCCUGUCCAGACCUCUCAGGUUUCCGCUCAGCGUGGGCAGCUCUGGAGGCUGCGGGGAGGGUACAGAACGGAGGAGGAGCGUGAGGAGCCUGUCCCUAUUUUCCUGGGCACGGGGCUCACUCCUGGCACUAGUCCUUCCUGGGGCCCCAGCUCCAGCUUGUUAGUUUUAACUGGAACAAUUUCCUUUGAACUCAGCUUGAAUUAGCAUCACCAUGGCGAUGGAUCAGAGUUUUCACAAGUCGACCUGGUCUUCACCCCUCAAGCAAUUAGUUCGGAGGAGAAAAGUAGGAGGAGGAGGAGGAAGAAGAGGUAGCCUGGGAGGAAAGGUCCACUGUUCACACUUUCUCAGGGGAGACCCAGCAGCCCAACGCCACAAGGUCACUCCCAGGCAGCAAGCUCACCUUCAGCCCCUCCCUCCUGCAGGGACCAGGCUGUGGUAACAAUGGAGAAAGGGGAAGAGCAAACCAGAAUCUUCCAGAAUUUAAUGGAGUUGAGGAUCACUCUUUCUCCAAGACUCUGUCCGUCCCCACCUCCUCCAGGAGGCCCUUGGAUCACCUGCCACCUCUCCAGGCUCCUCACCCCCCGGGACCCUGCCAUCAUCUGUCACCAGCUUCACCCUCAGACCAACCAACAGGAAGCAAUCCUAGAUGGAGACAGGUGAUGAUACGAAAGGCUUGUCCUUGAGGAAACACAUUUAUAUGGAGCAGCCACGGCGUCGCCUUUGUCUAGAGCACCCUGGAGGAGUGUGGGCACAAUAGGCCGGAGGCGAAAGUGCCUUAAUCAGUUAUCCUCUCCCAGGAGCCCCCUUCCACCCUUUGGAGGGUGACCAGGCCAAUGCCCAGGGUCUCACUGUUGCUGGAGAACAGCUCAUGCGACUUUAGGGCCAAAGAGGUAGGCAGGGACUGAGAGAGACUCCUGAGAGCUACCCACCCCUUUCCCGAGCCCAGCCGGCAAGAUGAAUGCCUUGCCGAGGUUUCACUUUCAACUUUCUCCCCUUGGAGGGAGGUUUUAUCUCGGCCAUCACCACCCAGGAAGGCCUGGAAGCACAGCGGGGUGCUCCAGGGCAUCUGCAGCAUUUCAGCCUGCUGCACGCUUGUGCUGAGCUCCGGCUAAGGCCCCACCGUCCCAGCUGGAGACAUCUGAAGACUCCCAGCCCUGGGGUUGAAAGCUCCAGGACUGCGCGGAGGGGCUGCACAGUCCGCAGAGCCCUGGUGCCCGGCCGGGAGGAGGGAUCUUUGGGUUCUGGUCUUGACUUCCUGGGACCCCUGUGGAGCAGGGGAUCCUGUUGGAGCCAGAUCGAGUCAGAUGGCUCAGGCUCCUCGGGGAAGGGGCAGAGCAGCAGGAGGGACCCCACCCAGACAGACAGAGCAGUGGGGUUGGCACAAGCUCUGGACUCUGACAUGUGGCAUUUCAGCCCCGACUCUGCCACUGACCAGCUCUGCUACCUUGGGCUAGUCAGUUCUGCGCCACAGUUUCUCAUCUCUAAGACGGAGACAGUUAUCAGCACUCUGCCCUCUUCAGAGCGAUGCCGCGGGGAUCGAUGAGACGAGAGAAUAAAGGAGUUUGAGCUGCACACAUGAGGCAGAUGAGGCCAUUCCCUCUUCCCUGCAGCCCAGGAUGUGACAGCAGGAGGGACUAGAAAGGCCCUGCACUCAGGAGUAAUUCGGAGGCUCCUGUUUCUCCACAAGGGUCCGGGGUCUGAGUCCCAGCUCCCCUGCUCACGAGCUAGGGAACCUUGACCCAGACAUCUCAGCUCUCUGGGUCUUUGUUGCCUCUUAAUCUUUAAACUGGGAGAGGAAGAGCUGGGACUAAAUGAUUGCCAACCUCUGCAUUUGGUCCCUGGUCCCUCCAACGCAGAUUCCAAGGUCUGAAUUCCCCCUGCUAUCCUCUCUUACUCUCAGCCAAAGGGCGACUGGGGUAGAGGGCACGGGGCUCCUGGUGAACGCGCCCGCUGGCAGGCAGCUGAGAACGGCUGCAGAUGGGGACAGAGGACAGGACUCACCAAGUGCCAGGGAUGGCAAAGGACCCAAAAUGAGCCUACAACCACUCCUUAUAUCACAUGGGCAAGAGAUGGGGCCUUGGAGAUGCCAAAGGGGGAGGCUCCUUUGUUCUGCGGCUCCUUGUGCUAUCUGUCUGUCCUUUCAUUCCAUCUUCCAUUUUCAUUCACUCGCCUGUGCCUGCUGUAAACAUUGAUAAAGCCGUUACAGCACGUCAGGCACCGUCCUGGGUGUUGGGAAUACAGAAUUGAGUAAGUUCACAGCCUCAUGGGGGCCAACGAGAGAUAUAAACAGACGGUUCCUACCCAGAUUGAGCAGUGCUGGGAGAGCAGCCUGCGCUGGGGGCCGCCGGGCACGGAGGAGGGCCUGCGCCCAGCCGCGUGGGACAGCUCCUUCCUCAGACCUCUCACUCAGCUUGCGGAGACGAUGGGAAAAUACAGACGUUGCUUGGUGCCCAACAGCUUAGAGGGUGGUAAAGAAAAAAAAUGCCCGAGAGAAAGGUUACGGGGUAGGAUAAUUAAUGUUUUGCUAAGGAGGAAAAUAUUACUGUGUGUUGCUCAGCAUGCAAACACCUCAACUAACAAAAUGGCUGGGAGAAAACAAGUGGAACUGCAGGAUUUUUCUCACAAAGAUUAAAAGAAAAGAAAAAGACAGCAGUCACAGACAUACCUCCUCCCGUGGCUGAAAGAAUGUUCCCCGCCAGGUGAGGAAAGCAAGGCCCAGCGCUGGGAAGGGCCCAGCUGCCGCUCCUUCCUGGACGAAGGCCGGCCCAGCACACAAACCCCGCACCCCAGCCCCUGGCCCACUGCCAUUUCAUGUUAAGGCUCUCCUCUCAGUGUCUGAGGCCCGGGGAGCUGCUGUACACACUGCUUGACCAUUGUAAGGAAGAAGAGAUUUCUAAUUCCAGAGGGUGCAUCCAGC